RNAcentral lists this ribosomal RNA (509 nucleotides) under uncultured soil bacterium. RNAcentral's name for it is "bacterial SSU rRNA". It matches the Rfam family "Bacterial small subunit ribosomal RNA", at positions 26 to 535 of the family's 1533-position model. The record is from RNAcentral.
AGAUUGAACGCUGGCGGCAUGCCUUACACAUGCAAGUCGAACGGCAGCACGGGAGCAAUCCUGGUGGCGAGUGGCGAACGGGUGAGUAAUACAUCGGAACGUGCCCAAUCGUGGGGGAUAACGCAGCGAAAGCUGUGCUAAUACCGCAUAAGAUCUACGGAUGAAAGCAGGGGAUCGCAAGACCUUGCGCGAAUGGAGCGGCCGAUGGCAGAUUAGGUAGUUGGUGAGGUAAAGGCUCACCAAGCCUUCGAUCUGUAGCUGGUCUGAGAGGACGACCAGCCACACUGGGACUGAGACACGGCCCAGACUCCUACGGGAGGCAGCAGUGGGGAAUUUUGGACAAUGGGCGAAAAGCCUGAUCCAGCCAUGCCGCGUGCAGGAUGAAAGGCCUUGGUUGUAAACGUGUCUUUUGUACGGUAACGAAAAGUUAACGUCUUUACUAAUUAAAGAAGGAAGUACAAUAGUAACGGUACCGUAAAGAAUAAGAACACCGGACUAACUAACGUACG